ACACCGGCGGCCUCGCGUUUCCCGGCGCUGCGCCUCGAGGCCACGCCCCCGGGCGGAGCGACCAAUCACAGGUUCCCGCGGAGCCGGGCGCCUCAGCGGCCUGGGCGCCGGGACGCUCAGGUGGUUAUUGCGGGUGUCUUGUCUGUCCUCCGGCCGAGUGGUCACCUGUGGUCAUCCUGCAGGGCCACCUCUGGUGGGACCGUGGACGCGCUCUUGGCCUACCUGCAGCCUCCUGUCCCCACACCUGACACCGCCUGCUUCUUCAUCUCGUAAAUGCCUCAAGCCCCUCGCCUUCCAGAGGUGGAUUUGAGAUUUGUUCACCCACCUUCUCACUUCACUGCCUUGUGAAUAAAUUUUUCUCUGCCUGCCGCAAACCUUGGCGUCUCAACAUUUGGCUUCUGUGCGUCGGGCAAAAGAAGCUGGUUCAGUAACCCCCAGACUCUUGUCAAAGGGGACUCUGGAGUCAAGUGGCUGCAAUGGGACCUGUCACCAUCCACCCUGGGAGGCAAAGACAACAGCUCAGCCUUAGGGUAAUAAUGAGAAAGGAGUCCUUGUCCCUACAGGAGGCAGGAAGAAAACAUGCUAUGGAAGAAUCAUGCUUUGCUCAAACCAGAUUAACUCUUGUCUCUGGGGAAAAGUGUUCACUUGUCUUUGUGAACUGUGCUGACCUUACAGGUGAUGAAGAAAACUGAAGGGGAUAAGCUACAGCUGCCACUUGGGGGCCCUGAUAGAGAAUUGGAACGUCCACAUCACUGUCCGUCAAGGAAUCCAGAGCCCCCGUUCCCUCCCACCAGCCUCGGGGCACAGUCAACUAAUGUAGAUGUCCAGCUGGGGUCUUAAGACUCAAGAACCAAGUGAAAACACCUCCCCUAGUCAAGGAGGUGGGGGUACCAGCCAGAGUGGCCUGAGGAGGGGCACCUGCUUGAGGGCAGCCCUGCAGAGGGAGUGACCCGGUUGGGGAGUGGGGUGGGCAUCUUAAUGGUUUUCAAAGAAGCAAGAGGAUUAUGGAUGUGAAGGUAGAGAUAGCUGGACAUGCGUUUUCAACAGCACGGGGUCAGCGCCCCUAACCCCUGAGCUGUUCAAGGGUCAGGUGUAUAUAUUGCAAAAUCAUUACCACCAUAAGUAUACAACCCAGUAUUGUUAACGGUGGUCACCAUGCUGGACAUCACACGCCCAGGACUUGCCCAUCUUAGAACUGGAGUUUGCAGGUCUCUGACCGAGAGAGGCCACACCUGAGGAGCAGCAUUAACCUGGUACAGACCGCGAGGCCCUGGGCUUUGAGCCUGCUGCUGGGAUUGGAUGAGACUUUGGGGGACCUUGGGAGGAGAACGUCAGCAGUAACAGUGCGCCAGCUCCAUCCCUGGGCCUCGUGAGGUUUUUGUGGACUUUUUCCCCUUCGCUCCUGCCGUCGUGCCUGCUGUGUGGAUAAGCCCUAGUACCAUUCUGGGGGAUGAGAGACCAGACAGAGCAGAGAUGAUCCAUCCAGCCAUCCUAGACCAGCUAGUUCUUCUAACCAAGCGGCAGGCCACAGACCCAUGAGCCAAGGCCAGCAACGCCAGAACCACCCAACUAAGACCAGCUCGAAUGGUCAACCCGCAGAAUCAUGAGCUAACUAAAUGCUUAUUGUUUUAGGCCCCCAAAUUCUGUGUUUGUUAUGCAUUAAUACAGCAAUAGAUAAUAAAUACAGUUACCAAAUAACACUGCUAACUCCUUUGAGGAAAUUACCGAGACAGAUGGUAGAAAACCAAAUGACUCUCCAUUUUUAUCUAAGCUGUAAAUGUAAAUAUGUCCUCAUUGUUUUAUAAAUUUCAGAGAAGUGAAAACGUGGUUAUAAUUUAAGUAGCCACAUUAAGAAAUUUAAGGAAAAAAACAGCCAAAUUAUUCAGAACUAAAAUUUGAGCAGUGAGUUUUGGGUAAUAAGCUAAAAAAAAUUAGAUAGUAAAAUAUCAAGGCAUCAUAUUAAUGUUGAUAAUUAUAGUUUACUUAUAUAUAACAGUGCUAAUGAUAAAAGCCACUUAAAUAGUAUCUUUGUAGACACACAUUAACCUCAGAUAGCAUACAACAAAAUAAAUUUAAGUAGCACCUCCAAGAGACACAAAAGGGAAGACUGUGAAAAUAAAAAUAAGCUGGAAAACAUUUCAAUUUAGACUUCAUUAGGAUUAAAAAGAUAAGGUAUAGGU
Long non-coding RNA from Camelus dromedarius (Arabian camel), 2180 nucleotides. RefSeq lists it as uncharacterized. The record is from RefSeq and is a predicted model, not a curated record. The transcript has 6 exons. Lineage: Eukaryota; Metazoa; Chordata; Mammalia; Artiodactyla; Camelidae.